RNAcentral lists this transfer RNA (87 nucleotides) under Lysobacterales bacterium. RNAcentral describes it as "tRNA-Leu". It matches the Rfam family "tRNA". Rfam says of the family: Transfer RNA (tRNA) molecules are approximately 80 nucleotides in length. Lineage: Bacteria; Pseudomonadati; Pseudomonadota; Gammaproteobacteria; Lysobacterales. The record is from RNAcentral.
GCCCGGAUGGCGAAAUCGGUAGACGCAAGGGACUUAAAAUCCCUCGACCUUGCGGUCAUGCGGGUUCGAGCCCCGCUCCGGGCACCA